GACGAACGCUGGCGGCGUGCCUAAUACAUGCAAGUAGAACGCUGAAGGAGGAGCUUGCUUCUCUGGAUGAGUUGCGAACGGGUGAGUAACGCGUAGGUAACCUGCCUGGUAGCGGGGGAUAACUAUUGGAAACGAUAGCUAAUACCGCAUAAGAGUAGAUGUUGCAUGACAUUUGCUUAAAAGGUGCAAUUGCAUCACUACCAGAUGGACCUGCGUUGUAUUAGCUAGUUGGUGAGGUAACGGCUCACCAAGGCAACGAUACAUAGCCGACCUGAGAGGGUGGUCGGCCACCCUGGGACUGAGACACGGCCCAGACUCCUACGGGAGGCAGCAGGAGGGAAUCUUCGGCAAUGGACGGAAGUCUGACCGAGGAACGACGCGUGAGUGAAGAAGGUUGUCGGAUCGUAAAGCUCUGUUGUAAGAGAAGAACGAGUGUGAGAGUGGAAAGUUCACACUGUGACGGUAUCUAACCAGAAAGGGACGGCUAACUACGUG
Molecule: ribosomal RNA, 495 nt
Filed under: uncultured bacterium
Lineage: Bacteria
Description: partial 16S ribosomal RNA
Rfam family: Bacterial small subunit ribosomal RNA
Source: RNAcentral